Marmota flaviventris (yellow-bellied marmot) is the source of this 278-nucleotide long non-coding RNA. RefSeq lists it as uncharacterized. Lineage: Eukaryota; Metazoa; Chordata; Mammalia; Rodentia; Sciuridae. The record is from RefSeq and is a predicted model, not a curated record.
CUGCAGUAGCCCCUACAAACAGGAGUGCGUUUCCUGGCACCUGAUUACACUCCGCCCACCCCCUGCCGCCCUUCCAAAAUGGAGUGGCCUCCACUGUCCCUAGGAGGCUGCAGUCGAGUUUCCUGGGCAGCACUUUCUCCAGGCGCUGGACAGCGGAAGCCACGGCCUCGCCCAGCCUGAGCCAUACCUGCACUGGAGGAAAACUGUCACUGGCGAGGAACAGUUUAUACACAUACAGGAAAUCGAAUUGUCGCAAAUAGAGAUUUCUGUUUCCGUUC